RNAcentral lists this unclassified non-coding RNA (322 nucleotides) under Hevea brasiliensis (rubber tree). The record is from RNAcentral. Lineage: Eukaryota; Viridiplantae; Streptophyta; Magnoliopsida; Malpighiales; Euphorbiaceae.
GCACAUAAAGGUGCGCUUCAACAUUUAAUCUUUAACUCUACAUUUAGCUAAAGAAACAUAUUGUGGUUGUUGAUACUUUGUUCUUAGUGCCUGUAGGAUUCCAUAAUGUAAUACAUCAAACAUGCAUUUUUGUUAAUUCAAUUUAUAUAUAUGCCCAUCCAAAGAGGAAAACAAGGGAAAACUUUUAAAUUCCCUGCCUGUAUUGCUGCACAUGGUUAGCUGAGUGAUUAUGGCAAAGAACAGCAAGUCUGUCAUGAACUUAUCAAGUCCUUGUACUUUUAAGUUUGAAGGAAACUACUUAAUUCCUGUAUCUUUAAGUUUG